UUGGUACGUGUCUACGUGGCA
RNAcentral lists this unclassified non-coding RNA (21 nucleotides) under Chlamydomonas reinhardtii. Its description in RNAcentral is "small RNA Cre_4022". Lineage: Eukaryota; Viridiplantae; Chlorophyta; Chlorophyceae; Chlamydomonadales; Chlamydomonadaceae. The record is from RNAcentral.